AAAUUGCUAUUUUUUGAAAAGUUUAGGCAUUAAUUGCAUUUCCAACCGAGGCAGUAACGGGCUUAUUGUCUCGGUUUUCUACUUAACCGAGGUAAUAUCCUUUUCAGGGGUUACAUUUCCAAAAACGUAAAAAGGUUUAUUCUCACGCGAACAAUCUUUCCUUUUCCCCACGAGCACAUAACGUUGUUUCUCCCUCGCGCAAACUGAGUUUCGUUUCCCCUUCACU
RNAcentral lists this long non-coding RNA (226 nucleotides) under Vigna radiata. RNAcentral's name for it is "long non-coding RNA (VRAD_LNC004644)". Lineage: Eukaryota; Viridiplantae; Streptophyta; Magnoliopsida; Fabales; Fabaceae. The record is from RNAcentral.